RNAcentral lists this unclassified non-coding RNA (220 nucleotides) under Trechisporales sp. RNAcentral describes it as "partial contains 5.8S ribosomal RNA, internal transcribed spacer 2, and large subunit ribosomal RNA". Lineage: Eukaryota; Fungi; Basidiomycota; Agaricomycetes; Trechisporales. The record is from RNAcentral.
AACGCACAUUGCGCCUCCCUUAACAGGGAGGCAUGCCUGUCUGAGUCUCAUUUAAUCUAUAAACCCGACGAAUGGGUUUGUGCCUGGGCGUUCGCUUGACCGGCGUCGCCUCAAAGUCAUCUGUCUUGUGAGCGGACGAGAUCCUUUCGGACUGACCGUUUGUGGGACCCUAAAUCUCUGAUUUGAGCUCAGAUCAGGUAGGACUACCGCCUGAACUUAA